UACAGAGACUGCAAGCGUUAUUCGGAUUCACUGGGCGUAAAGCGCACGUAGGCGGCUUUGUAAGUUAGAGGUGAAAGCCCGGGGCUCAACUCCGGAACUGCCUUUAAGACUGCAUCGCUUGAAUCCAGGAGAGGUGAGUGGAAUUCCGAGUGUAGAGGUGAAAUUCGUAGAUAUUCGCAAGAACACCAGUGGCGAAGGCGGCUCACUGGCCCGGUACUGACGCUGAGGUGCGAAAGCGUGGGGAGCAAACAGG
Molecule: ribosomal RNA, 253 nt
Filed under: uncultured bacterium
Lineage: Bacteria
Description: partial 16S ribosomal RNA
Rfam family: Bacterial small subunit ribosomal RNA
Source: RNAcentral